This 23-nucleotide unclassified non-coding RNA is filed under the name Mus musculus (house mouse). RNAcentral's name for it is "oocyte_clustered_small_RNA2479". Lineage: Eukaryota; Metazoa; Chordata; Mammalia; Rodentia; Muridae. The record is from RNAcentral.
UGACCAUCCACUUCUAUGUUUGC